This 114-nucleotide ribosomal RNA is filed under the name Priestia megaterium. Lineage: Bacteria; Bacillati; Bacillota; Bacilli; Caryophanales; Bacillaceae. The record is from RNAcentral.
UCUAGUGAUAAUGGCGAAGAGGUCACACCCGUUUCCAUACCGAACACGGAAGUUAAGCUCUUUAGCGCCGAUGGUAGUUGGGACUUUGUCCCUGUGAGUAGGACAUCGCUAGGC